UACGAAGGGCGCGAGCGUUGUCCGGAUUUAUUGGGCGUAAAGAGCUCGUAGGCGGCUUGUUACGUCGACUGUGAAAACCCACGGCUCAACCGUGUGGUCUGCAGUCGAUACGGGCAGGCUAGAAUUCGGUAGGGGAGACUGGAAUUCCUGGUGUAGCGGUGAAAUGCGCAGAUAUCAGGAGGAACACCGGUGGCGAAGGCGGGUCUCUGGGCCGAUAUUGACGCUGAGGAGCGAAAGCGUGGGGAGCGAACAGG
RNAcentral lists this ribosomal RNA (254 nucleotides) under uncultured bacterium. RNAcentral describes it as "partial 16S ribosomal RNA". It matches the Rfam family "Bacterial small subunit ribosomal RNA", at positions 524 to 776 of the family's 1533-position model. The record is from RNAcentral.